CCGCACAAGCGGUGGAUGAUGUGGAUUAAUUCGAUGCAACGCGAAAAACCUUACCUACCCUUGACAUGUACGGAAGUCACGAGAGAUCGAGAUGUGCUCGAAAGAGAACCGUAACACAGGUGCUGCAUGGCUGUCGUCAGCUCGUGUCGUGAGAUGUUGGGUUAAGUCCCGCAACGAGCGCAACCCUUGUCAUUAGUUGCUACAUUCAGUUGAGCACUCUAAUGAGACUGCCGGUGACAAACCGGAGGAAGGUGGGGAUGACGUCAAGUCCUCAUGGCCCUUAUGGGUAGGGCUUCACACGCCAUACAAUGGUACAUACAGAGGGCCGCCAACCCGCGAGGGGGAGCUAAUCCCAGAAAGUGUAUCGUAGUCCGGAUCGCAGUCUGCAACUCGACUGCGUGAAGUUGGAAUCGCUAGUAAUCGCGGAUCAGCAUGUCGCGGUGAAUACGUUCCCGGGUCUUGUACACACCGCCCGUCACACCAUGGGAGCGGGUUUUACCAGAAGUAGGUAGCUUAACCGCAGGGGGGGCGCUUACCACGGUAGGAUUCGUGACUGGGGUGAAGUCGUAACAAGGUAACCGUAAGGGC
This 588-nucleotide ribosomal RNA is filed under the name uncultured bacterium. RNAcentral's name for it is "bacterial SSU rRNA". It matches the Rfam family "Bacterial small subunit ribosomal RNA", at positions 921 to 1509 of the family's 1533-position model. The record is from RNAcentral.